AGAUUGAACGCUGGCGGCAUGCCUAACACAUGCAAGUCGAACGGGAGUAGCAAUACUCUAGUGGCGGACGGGUGAGGAAUACGUAGGAAUUUGCCCUUAAGUGGGGGAUAACCCGGGGAAACCCGGAUUAAUACCGCAUGACCUCGAAAGAGCAAAGUGGGGGAUCGCAAGACCUCACGCUUUUGGAGAAGCCUACGUCGGAUUAGCUAGUUGGUGAGGUAAUGGCUCACCAAGGCGACGAUCCGU
RNAcentral lists this ribosomal RNA (246 nucleotides) under uncultured soil bacterium. RNAcentral describes it as "partial 16S ribosomal RNA". It matches the Rfam family "Bacterial small subunit ribosomal RNA", at positions 26 to 284 of the family's 1533-position model. The record is from RNAcentral.